UACGUAGGGUGGAAGCGUUAAUCGGAAUUACUGGGCGUAAAGCGCACGUAGGCGGUUGGUUAAGUCAGAUGUGAAAGCCCCGGGCUCAACCUGGGAAUUGCAUUUGAAACUGGCCAACUAGAGUACGUGAGAGGGGGGUAGAAUUCCAAGUGUAGCGGUGAAAUGCGUAGAGAUUUGGAGGAAUACCAGUGGCGAAGGCGGCCCCCUGGCACGAUACUGACGCUCAGGUGCGAAAGCGUGGGGAGCAAACAGG
RNAcentral lists this ribosomal RNA (253 nucleotides) under uncultured bacterium. RNAcentral describes it as "partial 16S ribosomal RNA". It matches the Rfam family "Bacterial small subunit ribosomal RNA", at positions 524 to 776 of the family's 1533-position model. The record is from RNAcentral.